RNAcentral lists this ribosomal RNA (253 nucleotides) under uncultured bacterium. RNAcentral describes it as "partial 16S ribosomal RNA". It matches the Rfam family "Bacterial small subunit ribosomal RNA", at positions 524 to 776 of the family's 1533-position model. The record is from RNAcentral.
UACGAGGGGUCCUAGCGUUGUUCGGAAUCAUUGGGCGUAAAGCGUGUGUAGGUGGCCAUUUAAGUCAGGUGUGAAAGCCCAGGGCUCAACCCUGGAAGUGCAUCUGAUACUGAGUGGCUUGAGUAUGGGAGAGGAUAGUAGAAUCCCUGGUGUAGUGGUGAAAUACGUAGAUAUCAGGGGGAACACCGGUGGCGAAGGCGGCUAUCUGGCCCUAUACUGACACUGAGACACGAAAGCGUGGGGAUCAAACAGG